GACGAACGCUGGCGGCGUGCUUAACACAUGCAAGUCGAACGGAAAGGCCCUGCUUUUGUGGGGUGCUCGAGUGGCGAACGGGUGAGUAACACGUGAGUAACCUGCCCUUGACUUUGGGAUAACUUCAGGAAACUGGGGCUAAUACCGGAUAGGAGCUCCUGCUGCAUGGUGUGGGUUGGAAAGUUUCGGCGGUUGGGGAUGGACUCGCGGCUUAUCAGCUUGUUGGUGGGGUAGUGGCUUACCAAGGCUUUGACGGGUAGCCGGCCUGAGAGGGUGACCGGCCACAUUGGGGCUGAGAUACGGCCCAGACUCCUACGGGAGGCAGCAGUGGGGAAUAUUGCACAAUGGGCGGAAGCCUGAUGCAGCAACGCCGCGUGCGGGAUGACGGCCUUCGGGUUGUAAACCGCUUUCGCCUGUGACGAAGCGUGAGUGACGGUAAUGGGUAAAGAAGCACCGGCUAACUACGUG
RNAcentral lists this ribosomal RNA (468 nucleotides) under uncultured bacterium. RNAcentral describes it as "partial 16S ribosomal RNA". It matches the Rfam family "Bacterial small subunit ribosomal RNA", at positions 28 to 507 of the family's 1533-position model. The record is from RNAcentral.